Molecule: ribosomal RNA, 465 nt
Filed under: Vreelandella stevensii
Lineage: Bacteria; Pseudomonadati; Pseudomonadota; Gammaproteobacteria; Oceanospirillales; Halomonadaceae
Description: partial 16S ribosomal RNA
Rfam family: Bacterial small subunit ribosomal RNA
Source: RNAcentral
CCUACGGGUGGCUGCAGUGGGGAAUAUUGGACAAUGGGCGAAAGCCUGAUCCAGCCAUGCCGCGUGUGUGAAGAAGGCCUUCGGGUUGUAAAGCACUUUCUGUGGGGAAGAAAGCCUUGGGGCUAAUACCCUCGAGGAAGGACAUCACCCACAGAAGAAGCACCGGCUAACUCCGUGCCAGCAGCCGCGGUAAUACGGAGGGUGCGAGCGUUAAUCGGAAUUACUGGGCGUAAAGCGCGCGUAGGCGGUCUGAUAAGCCGGUUGUGAAAGCCCCGGGCUCAACCUGGGAACGGCAUCCGGAACUGUCAGGCUAGAGUGCAGGAGAGGAAGGUAGAAUUCCCGGUGUAGCGGUGAAAUGCGUAGAGAUCGGGAGGAAUACCAGUGGCGAAGGCGGCCUUCUGGACUGACACUGACGCUGAGGUGCGAAAGCGUGGGUAGCAAACAGGAUUAGAUACCCUAGUAGUC